UGGAAGCCGCCGUGAGUUCCC
RNAcentral lists this non-coding RNA (21 nucleotides) under Rattus norvegicus (Norway rat). The record is from RNAcentral. Lineage: Eukaryota; Metazoa; Chordata; Mammalia; Rodentia; Muridae.